This 835-nucleotide small RNA is filed under the name Pan troglodytes (chimpanzee). RNAcentral describes it as "retained intron". The record is from RNAcentral. Lineage: Eukaryota; Metazoa; Chordata; Mammalia; Primates; Hominidae.
AUGUCUGUCCACCAGACCCCCAGAGGAAGAUUAGUCAUAAUUCGAGUCCAAGGAAGACGGCUAAUUCUAGCCAUCAAUGUUUGUUUCCCAUUCAGAAGAAGUAGAUGGCUGCCCUGUCAUUCUAGUUUGUGGAUCCCAGGAUGUUGGAAAGUCAACAUUUAAUAGAUACCUGAUUAACCAGUUGUUAAAUAGUCUUCCCUGCGUUGACUAUUUGGAAUGUGAUCUGGGACAGACAGAAUUUACCCCUCCUGGUUGCAUUUCUUUGCUUAAUAUUACAGAACCAGUUCUGGGACCACCUUUCACUCACCUGAGGACUCCACAGAAGAUGGUAUAUUAUGGGAAACCUUCUUGUAAAAACAACUAUGAGAAUUAUAUUGACAUAGUGAAAUAUGUGUUCAGCGCUUACAAGAGAGAGUCCCCUCUCAUCGUCAACACUAUGGGAUGGGUUUCAGACCAGGGGCUCCUGCUUCUCAUUGAUCUGAUCCGAUUGCUGUCUCCCAGCCACGUGGUUCAGUUCCGCUCUGACCACAGUAAAUAUAUGCCAGACCUUACCCCGCAGUAUGUAGAUGACAUGGAUGGCUUGUACACAAAAAGCAAGACCAAGAUGAGAAAUCGACGUUUCAGACUCGCAGCAUUUGCAGAUGCUUUGGAAUUUGCUGAUGAAGAAAAAGAGAGUCCAGUUGAGUUCACUGGACAUAAACUGAUAGGUGUUUAUACAGACUUUGCAUUCAGAAUAACUCCAAGAAAUAGAGAGUCACAUAACAAAAUUCUUCGAGAUCUGUCCAUCUUGAGUUACCUUAGCCAGCUGCAGCCCCCGAUGCCCAAACCACUUUCU